Culex pipiens pallens (northern house mosquito) is the source of this 3617-nucleotide long non-coding RNA. RefSeq lists it as uncharacterized. NCBI's taxonomy places the organism in Eukaryota, Metazoa, Arthropoda, Insecta, Diptera, Culicidae. The record is from RefSeq and is a predicted model, not a curated record. The transcript has 2 exons.
AGAUUAAGAAAAAUACCAGUACUUAGUUAAAACAUUUUUUUUUGAAAAACACGUGAAGCGAUUAUGAUCAAAUAUAAACAUAAUAAUGAAGCAGUGAUGAAACACGUUAAAACAAUUAAGAAGCUGAUGGGUUGCAAUUUUGGGAAUAUACUUAAUUGAGCUUAAAUGGGUUAACAGGGUUUUAGAAAAACAAUUACGCAAUUUUUAACUACAAAUAAAAACAAAUCAAACGGACUGAACAAUAAUGAAAUUUCAACGACAAGCAAAUGGAGAUGGUGUGAUUAUUAAAUGUUCCAAAACAACAUGUAUGCAAGUAAGAAUGUGUGUGAGAAUAAUUGGACAAGGGAAGGCCAACCAGAAUGAAUGUUGAAUAUUUUUAUACGCUAAUACGAAGGAUUUACAGGAAACCAUUGGAAGACGAUCAAGAAGACAACAAUUUCAACAAGGACGAAUAUGAACUACAGCUCAAGGAAAGGUAAAAUUUGUGAGUAUAUCGUGGGGAAUCGGAAAGGACGGUAAAAGUUCCGAUCUAGGGAUACAUAAACUGAUAAAGCAACGCCAAAGGGAUUAAAAAGUAGACAAUUGUACUCUAUGGGGAGAGUUUUUUUUGUCGAAUAAAGCUUCAAAACAGUUGUAAUCCAUGGGGGGAUUCAAUAUGUUAAAAACAUUUCAAAACAUUUGCACUUUACGGGGAUAGUCAAAUGAUUAUUAAAGGGAAUGGAUAAAUAAUGCUUCAAGGGAAAAUCAAGGGAUAAAUAAUGCUUCAAGGGAUUUUCAAGGGAUAAAAAAAAUGCUUCAAGGGAAAAACACCUUUAAACUGAUAAAAUUCAGAGGGAAAAAAAAAAAUCAUAAUGAUUCAGCAUUUUAUUGCGAAUUGCUCAAAUAAACAAAUUGAUUGAAUGGAUUUGACAAAUUUGAAAACACAAAGUGACAGACAAGUUUCAUAAAAAGUUGAUAUAACAGAAAGGAUAUUCUAACAUGCGCAGUAUUGCAAUGACAAGAUGAUAGGAUGUAUAGAUCAAUGAAAAACUUUAUAGAGUAUUUUUUUUAUUCAAGUAUAAAAACAAUAGUCAAUUAGAACUGAUUUUUUUUUUCAGUAUCAGUAUAUCAAGAAGAUGUAUAAAAUUGUAUAAGUAAAUUUGAAUUCAAUUUUGCAUAUAAAUUGAAUGAUAAAUAUUGUUCAUACGAAGAAAACAAGUAAGACAUUUUUGUGGGAGAAACAAAUGUAGAAACUGAAGUAAAAUAUGACAGAGACGGGAGACGAAACACAAGGAUGAUCGACGCGUUCGUAUGCUGAGAAGUUCUACGCGUUCGUAUGCAGAAGUUUGUGAUGGCAAGAUGGGGAGUGGCAAAGUCAUGCGGGAGGUUGGACAUGUAACGGUGUUGAUGUUGUUGUAAAAGGUCAUAUCAAUGAGGAUCAAGUCGAAUUAAAACGCAAGUUUAGUAACGAAACAUUCACGUAAAACAAAUUACUAAAUCAAAAUGUGGAAUUAAGCGAAGUAAAGAUGAUUGAAAUGCGAAACAUCAAUUAUGGAACAAAAAAAUGCAAGUUGAGAUCAUACUGCACGUCUGAAACUAUUGAAAAGGAGAAGAUCAUGAUAAACAAAUGAUAACAUCAUCCGAUGUCAUUAAUUUACAAAAGCCAAAGUUGCAAAUUACACGAAAAGACAAUUUUGGACAAACAACAUGUUCUAAACAUUUGAAAAAAAAAUUACAUCAACCGAUGUAAAUUAUUCGAGAAAGUCAAAUGUGCAAAUUAACUUGAAAAGUCCAAUUUUGAAAAAAAUAUUGGAUUUACGAUCAAUUCCACAUUACUCAGCAAAUGAGAAGUCAAUGCACUCUCAAAACUGACCAUAGUCAACUCACAGCUGGGUUAUGAAGCAUAAUUCAUGAUGGAAACGACAAUUGCAUUAAUCGACGAAAUUCAACACCUUAGCCUCGAAAACUGAUCAAUUGACCAAGUCACUGUGGAAUGAAUAGCCUCACGAUAAAGACGAUUUUGAUGGAAGACGACGACGAUAACAACCAGCCGAUCAACACAGCUCUACAACAACAACAAAUUUUGCUUACAGUGGGAAAAAUGCAAUGAUUUUUUUAGGAUUGAUAAUGGAAAUUAAUUUCAAAUGCAAGUUUAUUUAAAUCAGUUUCAACGAAAAUAUUUUUAAUAGAGAAGUUCAAAACGGUAAUUCAGGUAAUUUAACAGGACAGAAGAUCAAAAGAGUAAUGAAAAUAAUUUUACAGUAGAAAAAUCAAAAGAGCAAUUAUAAUUAUAAAACAAUUUACAAGAAAGCACAAGAAGAACAAAUUGUAAACCGCGCGAUCACUACACCCGACAAUAUUCUUUCCAUAGAUGAUCAUUUCUUUCAGACGAUCAUCUAGCUGAUAAGUGUGGGGGAGAUUAACCGAACCAAUUUUUUUUAAUCAAUUUUUUAUAGCCAGCCAUUUAAAUAUUUUUAUGAUUUUUUGCAAAGUAAUUUUCACAAUUUAAAUUAUUAACUUUGGGAAUAUUCUUCCAACCUACAAAUAACUUUCGAUAGAUGUUUUUAAUGCUUUUCAAGAAUACAAACAUCUAGCUGGUAAGUGUGGGGGAAUGCAGCGACCUCAAAUUUAAAUCAUUAAAUUUGUCCAUUUUUCGAACCUCACCACAGUUCUGACCAUGCGCGCUUACGCAAGCAUAAAUAAUUUUACCCGUCGACUCGCGUUGCGCGACAAAUAAUUAAGCUUAUGUACAGGUGUGGAUCAUGAGUCAUCCUCACUUGAAAAGCCCUUUAUUAAAUUUCGCCAAUUGUUAGGCAAUCAAAAAAAUGGUUAAGCUUUCAAUUAUGAAUGUGCGAUGUUAUUACACAGGGGAAAUUGAGGGUGUGGCUUAACCAAAUUCAUUGGCAUGUUUGUUUAAUGGAGAAUUCGACCUUCUCAUUAUUGACUUACAUUUUUGAGAAUAUUUGAGGAACAUAAUUUUGAUAUUCCAAUAACAUAAUUUAAAGUUUCACGACAAUGGUUCGAACCCAUGACUUCCGAUUUUGAGGUGUACUCACUACACCAUACGGAAAGUCAUGAAGAAUUGCAGAGGUCUGCACAAUUUAAUUCAUGAGGUUCAUCGAUGCUUCUCAUCGAAACGGACCACUUUUAGUAGAACAAAAUUUAGUAGAGUUUUCGGGGACUGACUAUAAAAACCCCAAAAUUCUUGAGGAGGCCAGUUAGUUCCAGAAUUAGUUCCAGUCAGUUCCAGCCAGCUCCACUCCAGUCCAGUUCCAGUUCCAGAAGAAGCCUCAGACCAGCCGGACCCGCCAGCAGCCACCAGUAGCAGAGGCCCCAGUCCAGCCGGACUUAGCGGUGGAGGCCGCAGUCCGCCGGGACUUAGCCGCCGUGAAGAGUCCGCCGGGACUUAGCCGCCGUGAAGAGUCCACCCGGGACUUAGGAGUUCGGGGUCUGGCAUGGCUCGGCGAAGAGGUCUGGAGGACAAGUCUGGCUUCGACGUAGAGAAUUGGCUCGACGAAAGUCUUAACGAAAUCAGCAACAAAAAGUUGAGUGAUGUGAUCGUGCGUGUAGAAGUUGAAAGUGUUACCGCAAAAAAAUGUAAUCUUCAAAAAGUGUAAUAUACAGAUAAGUGAUGUUUA